AAAUAAUGCAAGCAGCUCCAUUCCCCACGGCAACUGUGCAGAGAGGCUUGCAGGUCCAAACCACUGGUAGCAGCCCCUGGUAUAUCCAGGACAUCAGCACAUAGAACCAGUGAAAGGGUCCUCCCUCAUAGUGACGCAUGUCAUAGACUCAGAUUUAUACAAACAAAUGCUGAGCAAACCAUGAAGAGUCUCUGGUAUUUUCAACAAUAUCAUCACAGAGGAACUGUAUUGAUUUCCUUCCUUCAGUGGUCCAAGAACCUGCUGCUCCCGGGUCCUCUCAUUUGAAGACACCCACCGCCUAAGGAUGAAGAGAAGCUCCUUCUUGCAGAUCUGAGGCUGAUUUCCCAACUCCCAGGAACACCCUACCCACAGCCUGUUCCCCAGACCCAGAUGGGGUUUGCAGGAGCAAUGGCUGUAGGGACACUAAGAUUUCACCCUCCAGAAGACAGCAUCUUCCUGUGCCAUGGCUAGAUCACCAGCUACCCACAGACAGCCUGAACUCCAAUUGUCUUCCUGCACAUGUGCCUUUAAAGGAACUUUUCAAAUGUAGAGGAGCCUUUAGAAGGAAGCCUUGAGCAUGAGGACAGACCCCCCUCAUCCAACCACCACCUGACUCUGUGUGAACCUGGAACUGUUAGAAUGUCUGUGCUGUGAUAAAAGGUCAUCUCCCUACAAUGUUAUGAUACAGACCUCAAACCUACAAACAUGAGGAACUUCUGCCUCCAGGUUAACUGCUUACCCACUGUACAAGACACGUUACACACAGUCCAGGAGGCGGAGCUUCUGAGAUAUCUAGAAACAGCUUAGAGGCAAAAUGACAAAAUAAAGCAGCAACAACAAAUAAAACCAAUCUUCUCGAACUGG
RNAcentral lists this long non-coding RNA (864 nucleotides) under Homo sapiens (human). RNAcentral's name for it is "HSALNT0393055". The record is from RNAcentral. Lineage: Eukaryota; Metazoa; Chordata; Mammalia; Primates; Hominidae.